This 20-nucleotide microRNA is filed under the name Panagrellus redivivus. Its description in RNAcentral is "prd-lin-4-5p". Its record names the gene prd-lin-4-5p. The record is from miRBase by way of RNAcentral. Lineage: Eukaryota; Metazoa; Nematoda; Chromadorea; Rhabditida; Panagrolaimidae.
UCCCUGAGACUAUAGCUGUG